GCUGGGCAUGGUGGUGCACGCCUGUAAUCCCAGCUACUUGGGAGGCUGAGGCAGGAGAAUCACUUGAACCUGGGAGGUGGAGGUUGCAGUGAACUGAGAUCAUGCCACUGCACUCCAGCCUAGGUGACAGAGCGAGACUCUGUCUCAA
Macaca fascicularis (crab-eating macaque) is the source of this 148-nucleotide unclassified non-coding RNA. It matches the Rfam family "Metazoan signal recognition particle RNA". Rfam says of the family: The signal recognition particle (SRP) is a universally conserved ribonucleoprotein. It is involved in the co-translational targeting of proteins to membranes. Lineage: Eukaryota; Metazoa; Chordata; Mammalia; Primates; Cercopithecidae. The record is from Ensembl.